This 301-nucleotide ribosomal RNA is filed under the name uncultured bacterium. RNAcentral describes it as "partial 16S ribosomal RNA". It matches the Rfam family "Bacterial small subunit ribosomal RNA", at positions 509 to 796 of the family's 1533-position model. The record is from RNAcentral.
CAGCCGCCACGGUAAUACAGAGGAUGCAAGCGUUAUCCGGAAUGAUUGGGCAUAAAGCGUCUGUAGGUGGCUUUUUAAGUCCGCCGUCACGUCGGCUGCUGAAAUCCCCCGGCUCAACCGGGGAAGUGGCACCGAUACGAGCGGCCUUGAGGGGGGUAGGGGGGUCUGGAACUUCCGGUGGAGCGGUGAAAUGCGUUGAGAUCGGAAGGAACGCCCGUGGCGAAAGCGAGGCCCUGGACCCUUUCUGACGCUGAGACGCGAAAGCCAGGGGAGCGAACGGGAUUAGAUACCCCGGUAGUCC